Small nuclear RNA from Zalophus californianus (California sea lion), 136 nucleotides. Its record names the gene U4. It matches the Rfam family "U4 spliceosomal RNA". Rfam says of the family: U4 small nuclear RNA (U4 snRNA) is a component of the major U2-dependent spliceosome. Lineage: Eukaryota; Metazoa; Chordata; Mammalia; Carnivora; Otariidae. The record is from Ensembl.
AGCUUUGCGCAGUGGUGGUAUCUUAGCCACGGAGGUUUAUCUGAGGCGCGAUUAUUGCUAAUAGAAAUCCACAGUUCCUUUACCUGUUCUGGCUUUAAUAGACUAUGUGGUCCUAGUAAAUCAUUUAUUCUGGAAU